GUCCACGCCUUAAACUAUGGAUACUAAGUGUCGGCGGGUUACCGCCGGUGCCGCAGCUAACGCAGUAAGUAUCCCGCCUGGGAAGUACGGCCGCAAGGUUGAAACUCAAAGGAAUUGACGGGGGCCCGCACAAGCGGUGGAGCAUGUGGUUUAAUUCGACGCAACGCGAAGAACCUUACCCAGGCUGGACAUGCAGGUAGUAGGAGGGUGAAAGCCCAACGAGGUAGCAAUACCAGCCUGCUCAGGUGCUGCAUGGCUGUCGU
RNAcentral lists this ribosomal RNA (263 nucleotides) under uncultured bacterium. RNAcentral's name for it is "partial 16S ribosomal RNA". It matches the Rfam family "Bacterial small subunit ribosomal RNA", at positions 793 to 1055 of the family's 1533-position model. The record is from RNAcentral.